Non-coding RNA from Dendroctonus ponderosae (mountain pine beetle), 82 nucleotides. The record is from Rfam. Lineage: Eukaryota; Metazoa; Arthropoda; Insecta; Coleoptera; Curculionidae.
AAAAUUUGAAAAUAAAGAGAGCUAUCCGUCGACAGUCUAUAUUUUACACUGUCAUGGAGUUGCUCUCUUUAUGGACGAAUUU